AAGUAUUUGUUUGGGAUUGGAUC
Molecule: microRNA, 23 nt
Filed under: Cordylochernes scorpioides
Lineage: Eukaryota; Metazoa; Arthropoda; Arachnida; Pseudoscorpiones; Chernetidae
Source: RNAcentral